AGAACAGGUCGGGCGGUCGCUGCCGGAUGGUUUUUGCUCUGGCGAUAGAGUUUAAAACUGACGGGAGAGGAAAGUCCGAACACCACAGGGCAGCGAGCCCGCUAACGGCGGGGCAUUCGUAAAUCUCAUAUUUGAGAUUUCGGAUGACGACAAGUGCAACAGAGAAAAGACCAGCCAGUAGCCGAGUGCGAAUUUGAGAUCUCGGCAUAGAGAUCUGAAAUCGCAUGAGGUAUUACUGGUGAUGGGUGAAACGGUGCGGCCCUUCGGGGCUUAAUGUAAGAGCGCACCGGCGUGCGUGGUGACACGCACGGCCAGGCAAACUCCUCGCGGUGCAAGACCAAAUAGGGAGGCGUCAAAGGGCAGCCCGCCCAAAGCGGUCUCAACUGUAGUUGAGACGGCUACGACCUCCGGGUAGGUCGCUCGAUCCAAUCGGCAACGGUUGGGCUAGAUGAAUGAUCGCCACUCCGGCCACGCCGGAGUACAGAAUUCGGCUUACAGACCUGUUCUACUG
RNAcentral lists this RNase P RNA (511 nucleotides) under Acidobacteriota bacterium. RNAcentral describes it as "Acidobacteria bacterium RNase P RNA component class A". It matches the Rfam family "Bacterial RNase P class A". From Rfam's summary of the family: Ribonuclease P (RNase P) is a ubiquitous endoribonuclease, found in archaea, bacteria and eukarya as well as chloroplasts and mitochondria. Its best characterised activity is the generation of mature 5'-ends of tRNAs by cleaving the 5'-leader elements of precursor-tRNAs. The record is from RNAcentral. Lineage: Bacteria; Pseudomonadati; Acidobacteriota.